This 714-nucleotide ribosomal RNA is filed under the name uncultured bacterium. RNAcentral's name for it is "bacterial SSU rRNA". It matches the Rfam family "Bacterial small subunit ribosomal RNA", at positions 791 to 1504 of the family's 1533-position model. The record is from RNAcentral.
UAGUCCUGGCCGUAAACGAUGAACACUAGGUGUCGGGGGAAUCGACCCCCUCGGUGUCGUAGCCAACGCGUUAAGUGUUCCGCCUGGGGAGUACGCACGCAAGUGUGAAACUCAAAGGAAUUGACGGGGGCCCGCACAAGCGGUGGAGUAUGUGGUUUAAUUCGAUGCAACGCGAAGAACCUUACCAGGGUUUGACAUCCUGCGAAUCUCUUGGAAACAGGAGAGUGCCUUCGGGAACGCAGUGACAGGUGGUGCAUGGCUGUCGUCAGCUCGUGUCGUGAGAUGUUGGGUUAAGUCCCGCAACGAGCGCAACCCACGUCUUUAGUUGCCAGCAUUUAGUUGGGCACUCUAGAGAGACUGCCGGUGAUAAACCGGAGGAAGGUGUGGAUGACGUCAAGUCAUCAUGCCCCUUACAUCCUGGGCUACACACGUACUACAAUGCUACGGACAAAGGGCUGCAAGUUCGCGAGGACAAGCAAAUCCCAUAAACCGUGGCUCAGUUCAGAUCGUAGGCUGCAACUCGCCUACGUGAAGGCGGAAUCGCUAGUAAUCGCAGGUCAGCAUACUGCGGUGAAUACGUUCCCGGGCCUUGUACACACCGCCCGUCACACCAUGGAAGUUGGCCACGCCCGAAGCCGUUACUCCAACCCUUGUGGAGGAGGACGUCGAAGGUGGGGCUGAUGACUGGGGUGAAGUCGUAACAAGGUAACCGUA